GCAUCAAUGGGGUAGUGGUAACCUAGAUCCCUUCCAAGGAUUUGCCGGGGGUUCGAUUCCCUCUUGAUGCA
Molecule: transfer RNA, 71 nt
Organism: Penicillium steckii
Lineage: Eukaryota; Fungi; Ascomycota; Eurotiomycetes; Eurotiales; Aspergillaceae
Rfam family: tRNA
About the family: Transfer RNA (tRNA) molecules are approximately 80 nucleotides in length. Their secondary structure includes four short double-helical elements and three loops (D, anti-codon, and T loops).
Source: Rfam